Molecule: long non-coding RNA, 1260 nt
Filed under: Theobroma cacao (cacao)
Lineage: Eukaryota; Viridiplantae; Streptophyta; Magnoliopsida; Malvales; Malvaceae
Description: long non-coding RNA (TCAC_LNC003164)
Source: RNAcentral
UUGAAAACAAUUCAUAAAGCCCAGUCAUGCAUUCAUAAUGGCAUCAUCAACCAUUAUAUACAUAUAUAGAAUAACAAAUGAACCUUAAUGUUUCACAUCAAAUAUCCAUAUACACAUAAUUAGACCUCGACCAUCAGCGGAGUGACUUUGGGCAUGAUUGAUAACACUUAGUGGCAUGUUAAACCUACUGAGCAAUGUAUAGGGAAGAACACCUCGUCCUAAGAUCCAAUCACCUUUAACUUAGAAAACCUAAAACAUGAAUUUAAAAAAAAGGUGAGUUCAAACUCAAUGAGUGAACAUAGGAGGGGAACAAGCAACGUUAAGGGAAGUUUAGAAAUCAUGAUACACAUCUUUGAAAACAAUGCAAUUUAGUUUAGCUCUUAUCAAAACCCCUCAUGUAAAACCCAAAUGAGUAAAUCACUUGAUAAAAAGGGUCCAUGCUCAACAAAAGAUUUGAAGAGUGAAAACUUUAAUAGCAUUCAUGCAAUUCAAGUCAAGUAAACGACGAGUCCUCGCUGCAAUAGAAAGGCAUUCUCGCUGCAGUGAGAUUCCGACCAGCAUAACCCCUCCAAAUCUGAGAGUUUCUCACUGUAGCGAAAAUGAAUCUCACUGCAGCGAAAAACAAAGCACCAUGAAAAAGUUUCCUUUCUUUCAAGAAAAAGUCAUCCUGCCAAAAUGACAAAAAAAUCAACAUGAAAUGCAUAAUAAUUCCCAAAGUUCAACAUGCAAGAUUCACAUGUGCAACACCAUAUACCAUACUCAUGAACUUUCUGUAACACACAUAUCUAUAUAUGUAUAUAUAUAUAUAUAUCCAUCACCAUACACACCCUCCCAUCAUCAUCAGCUCAUAUGCAUUCCCACUAGCACAUGGUUGGGUCAGCAUCAGCUUAUGCGUACUCUUACUCUCACAUAGUCGCGUCAGCAUCGGUUUAUGUCCACUCCCCUUCACACAUAGCUGGGUCAGCAUCGACUUAUGCACACUCCUACUCGUACAUAGCCGGGUCAAUAUCAUUACACAACAUAGUAUAUGAGCACAUAAGUCUGUCCUAUUACACAUUUCACAUUUUCACAACAUCAAAAUAUUUUAUCAAAGGCUUGUUCCCAAGGCACACAUUUUUAAAGACAAGUUGGAAUAAAUCAUUCAAUGUUUCAUACCAAUACAAUUAUGUCUCCGAAAACGAUUUUGAAAUGCAAGUUCACUCACCUUACAAUAGCGGGAUAUUACAUCGCUAUUUGAUCGGAGGUGUCUCUGAUUAUUUU